Molecule: long non-coding RNA, 372 nt
Organism: Oreochromis niloticus (Nile tilapia)
Lineage: Eukaryota; Metazoa; Chordata; Actinopteri; Cichliformes; Cichlidae
Exons: 3
Source: RefSeq, a predicted model, not a curated record
ACCUGUAAUCUUUCAUUUUAACUUCAGUCCUUUCAUUGUUUCUCUCCUGAUUGCAGCUGGAGCCCUUCAGUGUCAAACCUGCACAGAUCAGACAUGUUCAACCACAAUAGCAAAUACAUGUUCUUCAGAGACCAUGUGUGUUACAGCUACUAUUUUAGCUACCUCAUCUGGAACUACGGCAACACAAAUCUACAAGGCAUGUGCAUCUUCCUCCCUGUGUCCAACUACGGGCUCUCAGACAUUUGCAGUUGACCUGGGUGUUCAAAGUGCUCUUGCAUCUGUCACGUGCUGCAACACGGAUAACUGCAACUCAGCAACUCUGGCUGCCCCUACUCCUCAGUCAAGUAACGGCCUACUAUGUAACUAUUGUUC